Molecule: ribosomal RNA, 253 nt
Filed under: uncultured bacterium
Lineage: Bacteria
Description: partial 16S ribosomal RNA
Rfam family: Bacterial small subunit ribosomal RNA
Source: RNAcentral
UACGUAGGCAGCAAGCGUUGUUCGGAGUUACUGGGCGUAAAGGGUGCGUAGGCGGUCCUAUAAGUAUGGUGUGAAAUCUCCCGGCUUAACUGGGAGGGUGCGCUAUAGACUGUGGGACUAGAGUGUGGGAGAGGAAAGUGGAAUUCCUGGUGUAGCGGUGAAAUGCGUAGAUAUCAGGAGGAACACCUGCGGUGUAGACGGCUUACUGGACCAUAACUGACGCUGAGGCACGAAAGCGUGGGUAGCAAACAGG